This 382-nucleotide ribosomal RNA is filed under the name uncultured eukaryote. RNAcentral's name for it is "partial 18S ribosomal RNA". It matches the Rfam family "Eukaryotic small subunit ribosomal RNA", at positions 592 to 976 of the family's 1831-position model. The record is from RNAcentral.
UGUAAGCGUAUACCAAAGUUGUUGCAGUUAAAACGCUCGUAGUCGGAAUUUGGCAGUUCCGGAUGUGUGCACGUCGUGUGCGCACUUCGCGGGGAUUGCUUUUGUGGUCUUGCGUAGGAUGAGGCACUUUUAUUAGUGAACGUCCUCACGCAACCACUUUUUACUGUGAGAAAAUCAGAGUGCUCAAAGCAGGCAUUUGCCGUGAAUGUAUUAGCAUGGAAUAAUAGAAUAGGACUUGGUUCUAUAUUGUUGGUUUGUUGGGACUGAGUAAUGAUUAAGAGGGACAGUUGGGGGCAUUUGUAUUUCGGUGCUAGAGGUGAAAUUCUUAGAUUACCGAAAGACAAACUGCUGCGAAAGCGUCUGCCAAGGAUGUUUUCAUUGA